CAACGUCUUAUUCCGUUUCCACUGACCGCGACUUUUAUCGACUUUCCAGGUCACCGUCCAAGUUCUUACACGGCCAUAGUUCUCUCGGAGACGUGGAAAAUCAGUUGGAUGGAGAGGAAAACCAUGACUGCUGGCGAUUAAUAAUGAUCGGUGAUAAUCCUCGCACAUUGUAUACGUCACACGAAGGAUAAAUAUAGGAAUACAGGACGAAUAUAGCAUGGACACAGCAUGAAGACAGCAGAUUAACAGGAUAAGCACAAUUUUCCAUUCACCAGUACUCUUCUAUGUUUGUCGUAUUACAGAAUCAGACAAGCUUACAUUAUUAUAGAUGAUUGAAAUAUGUCCAUUUUGACUACAAACCCACUGGUGUCUAGACUAGGCAAUAUCGUUGUUACCCGGUUAACGAGGUGAGUAUAUCAUAAUUAAUUUGUGAUAUCAUAUAGAUGAAUAUUUGACGGAUUUUUUAUAGACUACUCGAGUUGCAG
Long non-coding RNA from Myzus persicae (green peach aphid), 485 nucleotides. RefSeq lists it as uncharacterized. The record is from RefSeq and is a predicted model, not a curated record. NCBI's taxonomy places the organism in Eukaryota, Metazoa, Arthropoda, Insecta, Hemiptera, Aphididae. The transcript is spliced from 3 exons.